UACGUAGGGGGCAAGCGUUGUCCGGAUUUAUUGGGCGUAAAGAGCGUGUAGGCGGCUAGAUAGGUCCGUUGUGAAAACUCGAGGCUCAACCUCGAGACGCCGAUGGAAACCAUCCAGCUAGAGUCCGGAAGAGGAGAGUGGAAUUCCCGGUGUAGCGGUGAAAUGCGCAGAUAUCGGGAAGAACACCCGUGGCUAGGGCGGCUCUCUAGUACGGUACUGACGCUGAGACGCGAAAGCGUGGGGAGCGAACAGG
Molecule: ribosomal RNA, 253 nt
Filed under: uncultured bacterium
Lineage: Bacteria
Description: partial 16S ribosomal RNA
Rfam family: Bacterial small subunit ribosomal RNA
Source: RNAcentral